RNAcentral lists this ribosomal RNA (109 nucleotides) under uncultured bacterium. RNAcentral describes it as "partial 16S ribosomal RNA". It matches the Rfam family "Bacterial small subunit ribosomal RNA", at positions 1365 to 1482 of the family's 1533-position model. The record is from RNAcentral.
AAUACGUUCCCGGACCUUGCACACACCGCCCGUCAAGCCAUGGAAGCUGGGUGUGCCUAAAGUCGGUAACCGUAAGGAGCCGCCUAGGGUAAAACUAGUGACUGGGGCU